CCUCAGAGCAAUGAUUCCAACAGUAGGUCCGUGAACGGCUCAUUAAAUCAGCGAUUAUCUACCCAGUUCUGCGGGGCUUGCCCCGUCACACGGAUACCGAUACUAACUGUAUCGCUAAUACGUGUAUGAGAACUGCUCUCUCGUCCAACACACUGCCCACGUUUCUGGAUGCGUAGAUUGACUGUGCUCUUUCGGUCGUUGCAUGUUUUCUUCUCGAAGAGGAUGUGCGGCUUGUACUGGAACUGUGCGGGAGAUUUCGUUAUUCGAAGCGAUACCAAAUGGGUGGUGUGGAGGGAGCAGGCAGUUGACCGGCACCAAAACUAACGCCACCAGUUCCAACCAAGCUUCGGCAAGGAGUACUGGUUACAAUGGCAGCGAAACGUGCUUUUACGCACCUCUCGAUGAACCAGGUCAACCACGUUAAAGCGCAUCAGGCCCUGUGCCUGGCGCGGAACUGGACGAAUUUCUGCCUUAUCAGCUAUGAUGACUGUGCAGUGAACAGUCAUGGUAUUAACGAGUACGGGGAAUUAGGGUUCGACUCCGGAGAGGGCGCCUGAGAAACGGCGACCAGAUCUAAGGAUUGCAGCAGGCACGCAAAUUGCCCAAUGGCAGCACGUUGUUGAGGCAGUGACGAGAAAUAACAACACCGGCAGAUUACAUAUCGGCCGGUGAUUGUAAUGGACGGUACCCAAAGCCACUGAUGAGUACCCACUGGAGGGCAAGUCCGGUGCCAGCAGCCGCGGUAAUUCCAGCUCCAGUAGCAUACACUAAUUUUGUUGCGGUUAAAAAGCUCGUAGUUGGAUUCGGAGCUGUGGAUUGCAGGUUUUGGUCGGGCGCUAAGCUCCGCAAGGAGCUGUGUCGCACAACCUCCUGCACUCGAUCCUGGCUCUAUUUCUCAAGCAUGCCUUCUUCAAUCAAGAGCGAUAGCAUGGGGAUCUAAGAUGAUCAGAUACCGUUGUAGUCCAUGCUGUAAACGCUGCCAGCGAGGCUUCGGACGUCAGAUCUGGCAUCCCGACUCGUCCGGCGCCGUCCCCCAUAACGAGAAAUCCAAGCCUGGGUUCCGGGGGGAGUACGUCCGCAAGGCCGAAACUUAAAGGAAUUGACGGAAUGGCACCACAAGGCGUGGAGUGUGCGGCUUAAUUUGACUCAACACGGGAAACCUCGCCAGGUCCGGACUCACUGAGGAUUGACAGAUUGAGAGCUCUUUCUUGAUCGUGAGGGUGGUGGUGCAUGGCCGUGCUGGGUUGGUGGAGUGAUUUGUCUGCUUAAUUGCGAUAACGAACGAGAUCACAACCUCUCACUCGGGCUCUGCUUCGCAUUUAGGUAGGGGUGGUUCUGUGCCUGCUCCUUGUGGGUGGGUGCUGAACCGAUUUUACGCCCCGAGAGGCAGGGACUUCAAGCCUUAGAGGGACUGGCGGUGCCCCCUCAACCCCCGGAAGAAUGUGCCUUUCACAGGUCUGUGAUGCUCCGCAAUGUUCUGGACUGCACGCGCACUACACUGGCAUAGUCAACGAGCGACCGACCGCAUUCUUGCGGUUCCUAAUUGGAAGCGAUUUGGAAAUCUUUGUAAACUGUGUCGUGACCGGGGAUAGGUGAUUGCAAUUAUUCGUCCUGAACGAGGAAUGCCCAGUAAGGGCGAGUCAUCAGCUCGCCCUGAUUGCGUCCCUGGCAUUUGUACACACCGCCCGUCGUUGUCGUCGAUUGGCUGUAGCAUAGAGGCGUUGAGAGGCUACGGUUGGGAGUUCGCUCCCUUCUGUCCCGCAAGGGGUUGGCCAAACUUCUCCAAUAUGCCACAGCUAGAGACGAUAAAAGUCGUAACAAGGUAGCUGUAGGUG
RNAcentral lists this ribosomal RNA (1835 nucleotides) under Serpenomonas costata. Its description in RNAcentral is "partial small subunit ribosomal RNA". It matches the Rfam family "Eukaryotic small subunit ribosomal RNA". Lineage: Eukaryota; Euglenozoa; Stavomonadea; Heterostavida; Serpenomonadidae. The record is from RNAcentral.